Molecule: ribosomal RNA, 492 nt
Filed under: uncultured bacterium
Lineage: Bacteria
Description: partial 16S ribosomal RNA
Rfam family: Bacterial small subunit ribosomal RNA
Source: RNAcentral
AGUUUGAUCCUGGCUCAGGAUUAACGCUAGCGACGUGCCUAAGGUAUGCAAGUCGUACGGUUUGUUUAGUGUAGUAAUACUCUGAGCCAAUAGUGGCAGACGGCUGAGUAACACGUGGGAAUUUCCCCCUAAGACGAGGGAUAGCUCACCGAAAGGGGGGUAAUACUCGAUAGUUCCCGAUUUAUCGGGAUAAAGGCUUUUGGGCUUAGGGAUAGGCUCGGGGCCUAUCAGGUAGUUGGGGGGGUAAAUGCCCACCAAGCCUAUGACGGGUAGCUGGCCUCAGGGGGGUGGUCAGCCAGACUGGAACUGGGAUAGGGUCCAGACUCCUACAGGGGGCAGCAACUAGGAAUUAUGGGCAAUGGACGAAAAUCUGGCGCUGGGACGUCGGGGGGGGGAUGAAGGUCUUAGGAUUGUAAACUCCUUUUAUCAGGGAACAAGUUCUGGGUGUACCUGAUGAAUAAGUGCCUGCUAACCACGUGCCAGAGGAAUCGG